This 253-nucleotide ribosomal RNA is filed under the name uncultured bacterium. Its description in RNAcentral is "partial 16S ribosomal RNA". It matches the Rfam family "Bacterial small subunit ribosomal RNA", at positions 524 to 776 of the family's 1533-position model. The record is from RNAcentral.
AACGUAGGAGACAAACGUUAUCCGGAGUUACUGGGCGUAAAGGGCGUGUAGGCGGUCUGUUAAGUCUGGCGUGAAAGCUCUCGGCUAAACCGGGAGAGGUCGUUGGAUACUGGCAGACUAGAGGACGGUAGAGGCGUGUGGAAUUCCGGGUGUAGUGGUGAAAUGCGUAGAGAUCAGGAGGAACACCGGUGGCGAAGGCGGGUCUCUGGGCCGAAACUGACGCUGAGGAGCGAAAGCGUGGGGAGCAAACAGG